Mangifera indica (mango) is the source of this 2348-nucleotide RNA transcript. It is a transcript of the gene named probable serine/threonine protein phosphatase 2A regulatory subunit B''delta, with no coding region annotated. The record is from RefSeq and is a predicted model, not a curated record. The transcript is spliced from 14 exons. NCBI's taxonomy places the organism in Eukaryota, Viridiplantae, Streptophyta, Magnoliopsida, Sapindales, Anacardiaceae.
GUUAACACUGUGCGUGCAUUUUAUCAGACACUUCAAAUUUUUGCCUUUGUAUACUCAUUGCAAAAACUCCGCUCUUCUUCUGAUUUCUCCGUCAACACACAACAAACUUCUUGCCCUUCUCUACACAAUACCACUUCCCGUUAAUUCAUAUCUAAAAAUUUCUCAAAAAACCCAAUUCUCUAUCUUUCUCCCAAUUUAAUUGGCCUUUUCUGCUUGUUGUUCAAAGGGUGUUUCCGAAUUUUGUUAGUUCUUGUUGAAUUUGGGAUCUAGGGUUUUAACGUGAAGUUUUCACCGGAUUGAAUUGAAUUAUAAUGAUGGAUGUGGAGGUUGUGACUGGUGACGUGACGUCUGUGGACCCGGAUUUGUUACAGUUACCGGAGCUUUCACCGUUGGCGGUCAAAUCCAAUCCCUAUCUUGCUGAGGAGCUCUUUUCGAUUUGGCUUUCGUUUCCUGACACAUAUAAAUUGGUGAAGUCUUUGAUGGCUGAUGCAAAGGCAGGAGCUCCUUUUAACACAUCUGGGAGUUCUACUAGUAUGAAUAUUUCUUCGACCAAUUCAUUACCUUCCAUGUUUGCAGCUGCCAGUACUCCUCCUCUUUCACCACGUGCUACGUCUGGUUCUCCACGUGUUACAAAACACAGGACUGGUCCUUCUCCCUUAGCUUCUUCCUUGAAAAUAGUCAGUGAGCCUGUAUGGGAAGUCAUACCUCAGUUUUAUUUUAAAAAUGGACGUCCGCCUCCAAACGAACUGAAAGACCAGUGCUUGUAUGCAAUUGAUCAGCUUUUUUAUGGCCGCACGCCUGGAUUGCAAGUUCAUGAUUUUAAGUCAGUGACAAAGGAAAUUUGCAAGCUACCAUCAUUUUUCUCUACUGCUCUGUUUAGAAGGAUAAACACUGUUAGCACUGGAAUUGUGACAAGGGAUCAAUUUAUUGAUUAUUGGAUUAAUGGCAACAUGUUGACAAUGGAUCUAGCAACACGGAUUUACAGAAUUUUGAAACAACCGGAUCACAAUUACCUCACUCAGGAUGAUUUCAAACCUGUAUUACGGGAACUUUUGGCGUCUCAUCCAGGGUUGGAGUUUUUACAAAGCACGCCUGAAUUUCAGCUAAGAUAUGCGGAAACAGUCAUAUACCGAAUAUUUUACUACAUUAACAGAUCAGGAAAUGGCCAUCUUACCCUCAGGGAGUUGAAACGUGGAAACCUGAUUGCUGCAAUGCAGCAUGUAGAUGAGGAAGAAGACAUUAACAAAGUCUUGAGGUACUUCUCAUAUGAACACUUCUAUGUAAUUUACUGCAAAUUCUGGGAGAUCGACACAGACCAUGAUUUUUUGAUUGACAAAGAGAACCUCAUCAGAUAUGGUAACCAUGCUCUUACCUACCGGAUUGUUGAUAGAAUUUUUUCUCAGGUUCCAAAGAAAUUUACUUGUAAAGUUUCAGGGAAGAUGGGUUAUGAAGAUUUUGUUCACUUUAUAUUGUCAGAAGAGGAUAAAUCUUCAGAGCCUGGACUAGAGUACUGGUUUAAAUGCAUUGAUUUGGAUGGGAAUGGGUUGCUCACACGAAAUGAAAUGCAAUUCUUUUAUGAGGAGCAGUUGCAUAGGAUGGAAUGCAUGGCCCAAGAGCCCGUGCUAUUUGAAGAUAUAUUAUGCCAAAUUAUUGACAUGAUUGGGCCAGAGAAUGAGGGCUACAUAACUCUACGUGACUUGAAAAGUUGCAAACUCUCUGGACAUGUUUUCAAUAUUCUUUUCAAUCUCAAUAAGUUCAUUGCUUUUGAAAGUCGUGACCCUUUUCUUAUACGUCAGGAGCGCGAAAACCCAACUUGGACAGAAUGGGAUCGUUUUGCUCAUAGAGAGUAUAUAAGGCUUUCCAUGGAAGAAGAUGUGGAAGAUGCUUCAAAUGGAAGUGGUGAUAUUUGGGAUGAAUCACUUGAGGCUCCCUUCUAAGUUUAUUUGAUUCAUAUAUGCGAUUGGCAGUGGACUGUUGGCGGUACAACUCCAGCGAUUUGCAAUUCCAAGGAACAAGUAUUAGCUUUUGGAAUGGUUGUUCUUGACCUAAAAUUUUUGAAAUGAAGAUCAAUUGAUAUGCAUUCUUGUCACCUUCUGAUUGGAAUGAACAUCUGAGAACUUUGGAACGAGCCUUCCAUGUUUUGUAGAAUUUGUCCAAUUUUGGAUGAACGGGUGAUGACCUCUCAAAAUGAUCUUGUUUUUUGUAAAAUGAGUAGAAGAUUUAUUUGAGGGAUAAACGUUUAAACUAUAAAAUAGUCAUUCUGAACUUGGACUUUAAUUUUCUUCAAAAUAUUCAAACCUUUGAACGACUUUCUUAAAUGAGUUUGUUUUCAGUUUGAAAUAUUUUAA